RNAcentral lists this ribosomal RNA (639 nucleotides) under Bacillus sp. (in: firmicutes). Its description in RNAcentral is "Bacillus sp. (in: Bacteria) partial 16S ribosomal RNA". It matches the Rfam family "Bacterial small subunit ribosomal RNA", at positions 655 to 1285 of the family's 1533-position model. The record is from RNAcentral. Lineage: Bacteria; Bacillati; Bacillota; Bacilli; Caryophanales; Bacillaceae.
AGGAAAAUGGAAUUCCAUGUGUAGCGGUGAAAUGCGUAGAGAUAUGGAGGAACACCAGUGGCGAAGGCGACUUUCUGGUCUGUAACUGACACUGAGGCGCGAAAGCGUGGGGAGCAAACAGGAUUAGAUACCCUGGUAGUCCACGCCGUAAACGAUGAGUGCUAAGUGUUAGAGGGUUUCCGCCCUUUAUUGCUGAAGUUAACGCAUUAAGCACUCCGCCUGGGGAGUACGGCCGCAAGGCUGAAACUCAAAGGAAUUGACGGGGGCCCGCACAAGCGGGGGAGCAUGUGGUUUAAUUCGAAGCAACGCGAAAAACCUUACCAGGUCUUGACAUCCUCUGAAAACCCUAAAAAUAGGGCUUCUCCUUCGGGAGCAGAGUGACAGGGGGGGCAUGGUUGUCGUCAGCUCGUGUCUUGAGAUGUUGGGUUAAGUCCCGCAACGAGCGCAACCCUUGAUCUUAGUUGCCAUCAUUAAGUUGGGGACUCUAAAGGGGACUGGGCGGUGACAAACCCGGAAGAAGGGGGGGGAUGACGGCAAAUCAUCAUGGCCCCUUAUGACCCGGGCUACGCACGGUGUUACAUUGGAUGGUACAAAAAGGAAGCAAAACCUCGAAGGGGGAGCUAAGCUCGUGAAAUCCGU